RNAcentral lists this ribosomal RNA (425 nucleotides) under uncultured bacterium. Its description in RNAcentral is "partial 16S ribosomal RNA". It matches the Rfam family "Bacterial small subunit ribosomal RNA", at positions 354 to 796 of the family's 1533-position model. The record is from RNAcentral.
GUGGGGAAUCUUGCGCAAUGGGCGAAAGCCUGACGCAGCCAUGCCGCGUGGAUGAUGAAGGUCUUAGGAUUGUAAAAUCCUUUCACCGGUGAAGAUAAUGACUGUAGCCGGAGAAGAAGCCCCGGCUAACUUCGUGCCAGCAGCCGCGGUAAUACGAAGGGGGCUAGCGUUGCUCGGAUUUACUGGGCGUAAAGGGCGCGUAGGCGGACAUUUAAGUCAGGGGUGAACUCCCGCGGCUCAACCUCGGAACUGCCUUUGAUACUGGGUGUCUUGAGUAUGAGAGAGGUGUGUGGAACUCCUAGUGUAGAGGUGAAAUUCGUAGAUAUUCGGACGAACACCCGUGGCGAAGGCGACACACUGGCUCAUUACUGACGCUGAGGCGCGAAAGCGUGGGGAGCAAACAGGAUUAGAUACCCGAGUAGUCC